Gymnogyps californianus (California condor) is the source of this 1382-nucleotide long non-coding RNA. RefSeq lists it as uncharacterized. The transcript has 3 exons. The record is from RefSeq and is a predicted model, not a curated record. NCBI's taxonomy places the organism in Eukaryota, Metazoa, Chordata, Aves, Accipitriformes, Cathartidae.
UAAUUUUGGGGUGACUCAAAUUGAGCACCAUUUGGAAUUGGAAUGGACCUCUCAUGGGAAUGAAUUAACUCUGGACAAGAAGGCAGUUUUAUUGUCAGUGAUUCCUGCUGUUUCCCCUGCACCUCCAGCUGAGCUCUCCUAGAGUAAACACGAAUAAUUAUAGUUAUGAACAACAAACAUCUGCAAGCAACUAUGAGAGCAAGCAGUACCACCAGCCAGCGCCAGCCUACUCGGCUCCAGCAUGCUGCCAGGGAUUCAUACUGCCCACCAAGCAAGUGCUGCUGGAAUCCAGCAUCUCUGUCUUGUACUAAUAAAAUUAGAGAGAACAAGCAAUAAGGUUGUGGAAGAGAAGGUGAUGAAACCAGAAGCAGAGCUACAACUAUCUCUGAAAAUAUACCUGGAGGGCUGCUGGAUGUACAACCUGUUUUACAUGACCGUGUAGAAGAGAUUAACAUCUUUCCUCACAAGAUAAAUUGCUAUGUGAAGCUUUUGAUUUCAGACAUACUCAUCAUGAUUUUUAACAUAUUUUCAACGUUGUUUUUUCAACAAUACUUGGUCUAGUUGUUGAACUUACUCCAUGCUGUUUUAUUUUGUGCAUAAUUACCUUACUCUGAUUUUUCAAAUACAUAUUUAUGGGCUUACGUGCAAGGUUUUGUAUGAGUCGGACUUUUUUUCUGUGGGUAAAUAUUGUUUUCAAUGCUGUGCCAGGUGAUGAAACAUUUAGAUUGUUUCCAUUGUUAUUAUUUCAUGAAUUCCUGAAAAUGUUACUUUGCUUUUAGUUAUGAAAUUGCACAUUAAGAUUUGAAAUCUAAAUUAAAUCUUCAGGUAUAGCAUUUCCAGUGAGAUCAGUUUUUGUUCUUCCCAUUCUCACUAUAAGCAAAAGCAGAUAAAAAAAAGGCAAGUCUAAGAAUUAUUUAUGUCUGAAAAAAGCCCGUGAUGACACAGGCAGGUGAUUGACUGAAUACCAGGGAGUAGGUGGGUGCUGCAGGAAGUGGUAAUGAUCUUCAAGGGAACAUACUUGCGUGCGCUAUGGACUCAAAAAAAAAAAAACUGCUAUAAGAAAUUCUUUGCUAGAAGAUGAUUGCUAUUUCUUAUGAGCUUUAAAAUGAAGUCGUAUCCAUUAUGAUGACAAACACUGUCUUGUCGCUGUAUGUGAAUGAAUCAUGUUCUAGUUAAAUUUCUAUGUGGGGUUUUCAGUUGCGUCUUUCUAGAGCCCUUUGCAGCAUAAAUGAAUGUUGCAUUUCCUUCCUGUCUUAAAUAGCAUUGUAAUGUUGCUGUGAGCUUUUAAAAUAGCUGUUGUACAUUACUCAAUGGAUUGGCAAAAUUUUAAUAAGGAAUAAGUAUGUGCAUCUUGUGAAAAUACAUUCUGGUGAGAAAUUCGU